RNAcentral lists this unclassified non-coding RNA (20 nucleotides) under Chlamydomonas reinhardtii. RNAcentral describes it as "small RNA Cre_2336". The record is from RNAcentral. Lineage: Eukaryota; Viridiplantae; Chlorophyta; Chlorophyceae; Chlamydomonadales; Chlamydomonadaceae.
UAGGUGAAUGGGGCGGUCCC